This is a small nucleolar RNA of Prunus persica (peach), 74 nucleotides long. It matches the Rfam family "Small nucleolar RNA Z159/U59". Rfam says of the family: This family consists of several snoRNA Z159 or U59 sequences which are members of the C/D class of snoRNA which contain the C (UGAUGA) and D (CUGA) box motifs. The record is from Rfam. NCBI's taxonomy places the organism in Eukaryota, Viridiplantae, Streptophyta, Magnoliopsida, Rosales, Rosaceae.
GUUUCUAAUGAUGAAACAUUCAAUUCUCCUGAGCUUAUUGAUGCUGAAAAUCUGGAGACCUGAACUGAAGAACA